GCGGGUGUGGCGAAAUUGGUAGACGUACCAGAUUUAGGUUCUGGCGCCGAAAGGCAUGGGGGUUCAAUUCCCUCCACCCGUACCA
This 85-nucleotide transfer RNA is filed under the name Orientia tsutsugamushi. RNAcentral describes it as "tRNA-Leu". It matches the Rfam family "tRNA". From Rfam's summary of the family: Transfer RNA (tRNA) molecules are approximately 80 nucleotides in length. The record is from RNAcentral. RNAcentral also lists the same sequence under 8 other names. Lineage: Bacteria; Pseudomonadati; Pseudomonadota; Alphaproteobacteria; Rickettsiales; Rickettsiaceae.